ACGGGUGAGUAACACGUGAGCAACCUGCCCCUGACUCUGGGAUAAGCGCUGGAAACGGCGUCUAAUACUGGAUAUGUGACGUGACCGCAUGGUCUGCGUCUGGAAAGAAUUUCGGUUGGGGAUGGGCUCGCGGCCUAUCAGCUUGUUGGUGAGGUAAUGGCUCACCAAGGCGUCGACGGGUAGCCGGCCUGAGAGGGUGACCGGCCACACUGGGACUGAGACACGGCCCAGACUCCUACGGGAGGCAGCAGUGGGGAAUAUUGCACAAUGGGCGCAAGCCUGAUGCAGCAACGCCGCGUGAGGGACGACGGCCUUCGGGUUGUAAACCUCUUUUAGCAGGGAAGAAGCGAAAGUGACGGUACCUGCAGAAAAAGCGCCGGCUAACUACGUGCCAGCAGCCGCGGUAAUACGUAGGGCGCAAGCGUUAUCCGGAAUUAUUGGGCGUAAAGAGCUCGUAGGCGGUUUGUCGCGUCUGCUGUGAAAUCCGGAGGCUCAACCUCCGGCCUGCAGUGGGUACGGGCAGACUAGAGUGCGGUAGGGGAGAUUGGAAUUCCUGGUGUAGCGGUGGAAUGCGCAGA
Molecule: ribosomal RNA, 578 nt
Filed under: Microbacterium sp. BvORHM022
Lineage: Bacteria; Bacillati; Actinomycetota; Actinomycetes; Micrococcales; Microbacteriaceae
Also listed under: 4 other names
Description: bacterial SSU rRNA
Rfam family: Bacterial small subunit ribosomal RNA
Source: RNAcentral